This is a small nuclear RNA of Nyctereutes procyonoides (raccoon dog), 107 nucleotides long. NCBI's taxonomy places the organism in Eukaryota, Metazoa, Chordata, Mammalia, Carnivora, Canidae. The record is from RefSeq and is a predicted model, not a curated record.
GUGCUUGCUUCGGCAGCACAUAUACUAAAAUUGGAACGAUCCAGAAAAGAUUGGCAUGGCCCCUGUGCAAGGAUGACAUGCAAAGUCGUAAGGCAUUCCAUAUUUUA